CUUCCAUUCGCUAUAGUGUAUGGCAUGUCGUUGAGUGUGCCUGUUAUGAUAACGUAUCUACUGUCUGGGUCAAUAUGGUGUGAAUGAGGAAGAUAUGCAACAUUUUUUCUAAUUAGUAUCAACGUUCCUUUAGUCUUGUUAGUCGUGGUCGCAUGAAACUGUAUAGGGAAGUCCUGUUGUAAGAUAGUGGGAUGUGAUCCUGUCAUGAAGUGUGUCUCUUGUAGGCACAGCACGCCUGUCUCCUUAUUUUUGAUUUCUUUAUAGAGGAGGUGUCUUUUAACUGGGAUAUUGAGUCCUUUGACAUUAUGUGAGUAGAUUUUCACGGUGGAAGGUGGUCAUAUUUCUGCGUGUGGCCUUGUGUAGUAAGUCUAUGUGAGG
Molecule: non-coding RNA, 378 nt
Organism: Pelobates cultripes (western spadefoot toad)
Lineage: Eukaryota; Metazoa; Chordata; Amphibia; Anura; Pelobatidae
Source: the annotation of a GenBank genome assembly